Molecule: long non-coding RNA, 5141 nt
Organism: Lagopus muta (rock ptarmigan)
Lineage: Eukaryota; Metazoa; Chordata; Aves; Galliformes; Phasianidae
Exons: 3
Source: RefSeq, a predicted model, not a curated record
CAAGUCUCUGAAAGACAAAGAAUGGAAGAGCUAUGUGAAGGAACAUGUUUAAAUACUGAAAGAAUAUGACAUAAAUGUGUCACAUUAUUCAGCUUUAAGAGGUUAAAAAAGAAUCAAGCUCACAAUAUGAAUUUACUUGAGAUGCAGAGUCUUGAGAGUGGCAAAAAUGAAAACUUUAAGGUCUUCAACACCAGGCUGCAGGAAGCUUACAAGUGAUUUUUAAACACAACUAAGUAUUGGAAGUAAAGUAAUCAUGAGAGUACUAUAACGUAUAUAUAUUGCAAAGCUACUAGUACUGUGAGAUAUUUUAAAUACCCUGCAUAUACUUAAAAAUAAUAUAUUUCAAAUAUGUUUCAAAUGUGUUUGAAUAGGUCAUAUGUUAUAUAUAAUAUAUAAGAGAUAUUCCAUACUAUUUGACAUAUUUGACAAAUAGGUUUGUAUUUUUUUCAUGCUAUGUGCAUGGAAUCUACUGUUUCCCUGUGCAGGUAUGUUGAUAACUGUGUCUUCUCAAUCCAUUCGUCUUAGACUGUAUCAAGUAUGAUCCACCGACUUAAACUGAGGUCUCGGUGAUCCAGUGAGUUUUCUGAAGACUGGCAUUGAGCAGAUGUCACUCCUGUGCUCAAGAAUGUCAAGAAGUAAGAUUUGAGAAAAUACAGGCCAAACACCCUUAAGUCAGUCAUUGGGUGAGUGAUGGAACAACUGAUCUCAGAAAACAUUUACAAACAAAUGAAGGACAAAUAGGUGACUGUCAGCAUGAAUUUACAAAUGAAAAGUCAUGCUUAACCAACUUGAUGAUCUUCUACAAUUCAGUGAGUAGCUUUGAAGAUGAGAGCAGAAAAGUGUAUGUUGCUUAUCUUGCCUUUAACAUUGUCUUUGACAUGUCUCCCAAAACUUACUCAUAGAUAAGUUGCUUAAAUGUACGUUAGAUAAAAGGAUAGUGAGAAGGAUUGAAAACUGGCUGAACAAGGAGGCUCAGAGAAGUUGUGAUAUGUGGAAAAAAUCCAUUUGAUGGCAAAACAUAAGUGGUCCUAUAAUGUUCAAAAUAUUCUUCAGUGAUUUGGAAAGAUAAGACAGAAUGUAUCUUCUGAAAGAUACAAAACUGGAAGGAGUGGCUAAUAUACCAAACAAGUGUGCUAACAUUUAGGCAAAACAAGGCAGGCUGAAGAGCUUAGCAAUGAGAAAUCUCACGAAGUUCAGCAAAGGGACAUGAGAAGUUCUGCCUAUGGUGAGGAGCAAAGCUAUAGACUAAUAGGCACUGGGGCCAAAUGGAUGAAAAGAAUCGUCACAGAAAAAGACCUAAUAUAAGCCAGCAAUAUAUCCUUGAAGAACGACCGACAAACAAAAAAAUAAACAGCACUCACUCUUGGCUUUGUGAAGGAGAGCACAGCCAGCAGAUGAAGACUGGUGAUCUUUCAUCUCUGCUCAGCACUGGUGGGAUGCUAGUUUCAAUUCCCCAUGUAGAAAAUGAUAUAUUAUAGCAUACUUUACUACUUUAAAAGAUGCCAUAAUUUCAAAGGAUUUUCAACAUCACUAGAUAGUAUUUCUUUUUUUCUAAUUCUUUGGGUAUUUAAAAAAAAAAUAAUUUUUUAGUCAUUCUUGAGAGACUCACCCUAUUAACCAUAUAAGUUGUCAUUUGCCCUUGGAAUUGUGUAUUCUUCAGCUGUGUACAGAUAUUCAGCAUAUUACAGCAUUAUGGUUACAGAGCAAACCUGUAUAUUACUGAGGACAAAGCUUCUUUUCUAAUGGUAUCUAAUUCAUACUGACAAUUGCAGGUUUACUAGAAGUGUUUAAAUACCUAAGUACUUCACUGUUCUCACAUAUCAAGUUUUUACUGACAUGAACGCUUCAAUUGCUUGAUGAAAUAAAUUAUCUGCACAAACUGCACCUACAGAAUUGAGGACAAAAAUAUAUGUAUGGAGAUAUACUACAUUGUUGAAGUCAUAAAAUUAUUCCAUUGAUUAGCAGAUGGUGUAAGAGAAACUGUGUUUGUUUUCCUGAUUCCAAACUUGAAAUACAUCAACUGUUAAUAAAGCACAGAGUACCAUGGACUGAAUUAUUUUCAGUAAAGAUCUAUAAAGUUAAGACUUCUGACUGCUAUUUCUACAGUUUAGCUGGAUUUGUUACAUUUCUCUCUUCUUCUUUCUAGCCAUUCAAAAAUAGUCAAAUAAAAUUUUUGGAGUUUUGACUUGACUUACACUUGCUUCUAAGCACUUACUGAGUGCAAUAUAAUACUCAGACAUGUAUGUAGGCAGUUAAGACAAAAUAUUUGUAAUGUGGAAUUGAAGGCCUGACAGUUUCUCCUUCAAAGAAACCUACUACAUGUUUUCUUUGAAGACUGCAUUUUGCGGAAGACUGAGAAAUACCUCAAAAAAAUAAUCCAGACUGAUUUAAGGCUGCAUAUCUGCCAAACACACUUAGGGAUUCUUCUUGAACAGACUGCCCACUCAGUAUUUACCUAUGCUUUUAUCUUGGUGGCCUUACAGAUCUCUGAAUCUUGUAUCAAAACACCUUACUUUUCAAAAGUGAAAAUUUUUUGUCCAUCUCUUUUUUCACAAAUAGGACAUGAAAUCUCUGAAGUGGAAAGUCUACACUACUCAGCCUUAGGGAGAAGAUACCUGUGUCAGGGGCUCGUCUAAAUAGUUAAUCACAAGGUACUCUGAAUGAGCUGAAUUUUCUAAAUUUUCUGAAGCUGAGUGUCUCUGCAAAGUCAGUAACUAGAACUCUGAGUGCAAGAGAGAGAGAAAGCGUGUCUUCAAAAGGAAAGAAUACUGGUAUACUGAGUUUAGUACUACUCUUUUUUCCAGGACUACCUCCAUUUUUUCACCUCUCACUAUCUAAAAUGAGAUGUGUUUGAAUUCCAAAGAAUGGAUCUGCAUACUGGAGAAAUCUCCCUCUGAAGUGUACCUCCAUGAUUACAGUCAGACACUUGUUUCCUCACUUCUUUUCCAGGACAUUCUUGCAUUCCUGGCUAUGCAGCAGCUCAGUCUCAAGGAAGUUCACCAUAACUGGGCCAUGAUCCUGCAGAAAGGAUCCAACACUUGGCUAACACUCUCUAUAAUGGUGAACGAUCCUAACAUUAUUGACCACUAGCACCACUUCAUUCUGGUAUGUAAAACAUACACGGUCUUGCAACAGCUCUCUUUGCAGGAAAAGAUCUCAGCAAUUCAGAGAAAAAUGAGGGUUCCUUUGCUCAUAACUGAUGGUUGCUUUGUUCAUGAGCUGAAUUUUCUCAUUGUAACUGAAUGUUAAACACUGUUUUUACUGUUUUUUAUCUGUGAAAUACAUGUCUUGUCUCAAAGCACAUGAAAAUGAAUAUGUUCCCAUAUUAAGUAUAACCUCUCUGCUGUUCUUUGUUAUGAGCUAUACUUGUGCUGACUAUCAUGCAAGACAUAAGCAUUAGCCAUAGCAGCCUUUUUGCUUAAAUGAAACCAACAGUAAUAUUUUCAGAGAGCUUAAGGGAAUGGAUUUAUGUUAUGGUUAAUGGACAUGGAUUAGACUGAAAAUCUACUGCCUUAAAGAAGAGAGAAAAAGACAGACAGACAUUGGAUAAUAACACUUAACAGUUUGUGAGGCUGCUGUGAAGCUUCAUUGGACAUGUUGAACAUAAUCUUUGGUUUCCAAACUGGAGAAAUAAUUGACUCAUAAUGAUCUGGCCAGAAUGAGUAUAGCAUGUAAAAUGUAACUAUUAUGAUUAUGAUCAUUAUUGCUUAUUCACAGCUCUGAGUGCGAGUCAUCAUUUGAUGAAAGGAAUACUAACUCCCGUGCUUUUCUCUGUUCUUCUCUUCUGUUUGUCUUUAUACUUUAGCACUAAAAUAGCUUUAAGACUCACCUUUAACUUUGUGUUAUGUUUGUUGCUGGGAAAUGAAGCACGAGUAUUUAACCCUUUAAGAGAAUUGUAUGUACAGUUACAGAAAUUAAUACUGUCAUUGGUCCUCAGUGGUGUCCAAGAAAAAAGGAUUUAGCAAGUGACUUAAAGGCAGGCUCUCUUCACCAAGUCAGUCACUGUGCUGAAUUGUUUUUUGUUGAAUUGUGUUUAUAGCACAAAUUGUAUGUAGAUAAAGAAUUGAAAACAUUAAUUCACAUAAAACACAGAGAAAAUAUUUCACAGAAUGCAUUUUUCUACAUAAUCAAAACUAAUGUAAUGAGCAGAAUUAAGUUGAUUUAUAGCUUAUUUACAGUAGUAUUAAGUGUUAAGAGAAUGUGAUUAAAAUACAUGACAAUUUAAUUUUAGUAAUUUAUUUUACUACUUAAAUAUUAACAAAAUAUAAACAAACAGGAAACUGACAGAACACAAAGCAUCUUUUUUGUCAUUGUCAGUGGGAGAUUCUAUUACUCUGAUUUUUUUAGAUAUAUAAUUUGUGUUCUUUAGCAACAACACAAUAUUCUACUGCAAAUUAAAUCUGGAAUAUGAGAGUGAAGAAACAGUUCUUAUUCCUUUUCUUCAUACCUCUUCCCUGAUAGUAAAUAUUACAGAAGACAAAUGCUUUCUUAAAUUACAAUAUUGUCUUUCUUCUAUUUUGUUAAUUGUUCUUUGGUUUUCUAGUAUAAGUUUAUGCCUUCAAUGGGGCUACAUGGAUUUAUGUAUCCAGGAUAUAAUUUGUAAACUUAAACUGAAGAGUGAAUCUGACACGGUAAUUUAAUGUUGCAGAUUGAUAAAUUAAAAAAAUAUAUAUCCUUUUUUUCAGAGCUUUCUGCUUCUAUCGGACUGUCACUAGUAUGAAGUAAAAGCUAGUCUAUAUCAGUAAAUGAACAUUAUACUGUAUAAACACAGGAAGUCAGUGCACUGAAUAAAACAGGGGCAUUUUAUAGUUGGAUACAUUAGAUUUGUAGUUUAGACUUUUAACUCUAUGUAGGUCAAUAGUAGCAAUUAGUUCUACUCCAUUAUAUUCUUAUAGAGAUUUGCUAAUCAUAAUAUCUGAGUGCAUAUUAUUAUUACUUCAUGGUACACUGUGAUAAACAUUGGGCUGAUCUGUUUGCCAUCAUCUUUGCAAUGUGAAAAUAUUGCAUGCAAUGCACUGUUGUGGCUAUUGUUCUAAAGUCUACUAUUAUUAUUACAGGAAUAUAUUAAGUUAAUAUAUAAUUCCAACUAGACAAGGCAAACUGAAGAAACAUGCUUUGUAGUUUGUGAGGACACAGGGGAG